Molecule: non-coding RNA, 566 nt
Organism: Penaeus vannamei (Pacific white shrimp)
Lineage: Eukaryota; Metazoa; Arthropoda; Malacostraca; Decapoda; Penaeidae
Source: RefSeq, a predicted model, not a curated record
AUUCAGAGGAAAAUGAUACUGGAGAAAGAAAUGCAGAUGGCAUGAUAACGGUGCAAUGACUUCAUUGAAAGAGCUUGCUAGAAGAGACGAUGGAGGCUUGGAGGUCAAGGCCAUCUUCAAGGGCAAAUAAUGAUGGACGACAGACAAAUAACCAUGGGCUUGCAGUGCCUUUUCAAGAUGAGUUAUACAAACUUUUCUAGAUUUAUUUUACAACUCUCCAAGAUGGCAAACUGAUAUCUGAUUUGGAGUAUUAGAUUCUAAGACAAGGCAGUACUCAAAGACAAUUUAGAGAUGGAUGGCAGAUGUAGUUAGUAUCCUGAGAACCAAAGCUGUGGAAGUGUGUGUGCUUUUUAUGAAGAUGAAAAGAAGACAGUGGGCAGUCAGCCACAAGGUGCCAGCUGCUUGUACGUUGAAUGCUAAAUGGGAUUUGAAUUGGAUGAUGGCCUCCCAGUUUCACAGGUAAGGUUUUCUAGAUUUUUUAAAUUGAGGAUGUGAAAGCAAGUGGAAAAAGAUGAAUGUGAAUAUUUAUUUUGUGUUGUAAUUGAAAAAGUCCUCUGUACAUCAAA